Molecule: long non-coding RNA, 1552 nt
Organism: Brassica oleracea var. oleracea
Lineage: Eukaryota; Viridiplantae; Streptophyta; Magnoliopsida; Brassicales; Brassicaceae
Exons: 5
Source: RefSeq, a predicted model, not a curated record
UAGCUGAUGGAAAUCGAGAUAACGAUGGUAAAGGAGAAUAAAACUCAAAGACUGUUGGUCCUCAGAUGGAUAUGUUCCCAUAUGUGUCUUAGGACGAAAGAUGGAUCUCUAUUCAAGGAGAUCCUGGAUAACUGGUCUAGGUCGGAAGAUGUUCAGUCAUAACGGUCUCUGGAUCGCUUCUUUGUGUUUCAUGGUGAGCAGAUUCCAAUUCUGUCAUACGUGUAUCUGAGAGUGAAGGAGAUAUGAGCAGAACUGGACAGAGAACGGUCUCUGACAAACAAAAAGGAGAUAUGUCUAACGGGGAGUGCAGACCAUCACUAGAUGGAGAUUAGACCCCGAAUGGUCAAUUUGCAACUCAUAGUGGUGACCAAGACUGUCCUGAGUCUGGUGAGCUACGUUGGUCAAAGAAAUGCUCUGUGGCCGCAUAUACAAAUUUAGAUGAAAACAAGAUUAUUUGGAAAAAAAAGGAGGAGGCUUUGAUCCUUACACUGAUUUCAGUUGUGCGAACAUUGCUUCUAAGUUCACUGCGAAAAGCACAAGGCAGUGUAGAAGAAGAUGGUGUACAUAUACCUUACGACUAUGAUCCUCUGAAGAAGAUGCACUUCUGUGUGAGGUUAGAUAUUUUUAAUCACAUACGUUUAUAGAGUUGGCACCCGAAGAAGAUGCAUGCUACACCAGUUUCUUAAGUUCAGCUUUCAUUGAGGUUUGAUUAUCUUUUUCCUCGAUGCAUCAUGUUUGUUGUUAUAUUGAUAUCAUCUUGUAGAUGUCUUAGAUUAGAAACACUGAUCUGAGAAGUCUAUUACAGAUGACUCGACCAAUAAAGACUAAAUUUGUGUAAGUAAGAAAAUAUCAGUCCACACCAGAAAUUUGAAGAUGCUAGAGUCUAAGGUAUCUCUAUAAUCUAAUAUCUAAUAUUAUAAUUAAAUUAAUUUCUUCUGAUUUGCAUAUACAUUUAUCAUCCCUAUAAUUGUUCAUAUUGAGCUCUUGCAAAUAUGAAUAUUUUCAGUUGAUUUUUUUUGUUCUGAUGGCUUAAACGAUCAUCUCCAACAAUCCCGUUGUCAUUUAUGUCCUUUCACGUUCUCUUUUCUGUUUUGAAAUUGGUCAUGCAAUUCAAGGUAAUAUCAGUAGUGCUUUAGCUUUGAAGAAUCUUUGGAAAACAUGUUCUCUUAUACUGUGUUAGCAAUUCUUAGUCUACAUUGAUUCAUUAGCUUCUUAUAAAGUUGCUUGGUACUCCAAGAUUGGGACCUUGUUUCUUAAUACUCCAAGAGAAUCCCGGUGUUCAAAUCACAGAUCGGUUUGUGAAAUAUUUGUAGUAGAAUUUGAUGCGAAGAGUCUGAACAAAGGUAGAUUCAGGAAGGGUAUUCUUGCGCACUGCAGGAUUUGUUGAAGAUUGCCUCCACAAAAGCAUAGUUUUAACUACGAUUAUUACAGUUCUUUUUGAGAACGAAAUAUAUGAUUUGGAAAAGUACAUUUUUUUUCUUCAUUGUAUAGCUAUAUGUUUUUUUGGCAUCAGCCAUCAUGAUACAUAUAUAUAGAUACUUUAAUGUUAUCA